GCCGGGUGCGGUGGCGCGCGCCUGUAAUCCAAGCUACCGGGAGGCUGAGGCUGGCGGAUCGUUUGAGCUCAGGAGCUCUGAGCUGCAGCGGACUAUGUCGAUCGGGUGUCCGCACUAAGUUCGGUAUCGAUAUGGUGCUCCUGGGGGAGCCCGGGACCACCAGGUCGUCUAAGGAGGGGUGCACCGGCCCAGGUCGGAAACGGAGCAGGUCAAAGCCCCCGUGCCGCUCAGUAGUGGGAUCGCGCCUGUGAAUAGACGCUGUAGUGCAGCCUGAGUAAUACAGCGGGACUCAGUCUUU
Molecule: unclassified non-coding RNA, 298 nt
Organism: Periophthalmus magnuspinnatus
Lineage: Eukaryota; Metazoa; Chordata; Actinopteri; Gobiiformes; Gobiidae
Rfam family: Metazoan signal recognition particle RNA
About the family: The signal recognition particle (SRP) is a universally conserved ribonucleoprotein. It is involved in the co-translational targeting of proteins to membranes.
Source: Ensembl